This 301-nucleotide ribosomal RNA is filed under the name uncultured bacterium. RNAcentral's name for it is "partial 16S ribosomal RNA". It matches the Rfam family "Bacterial small subunit ribosomal RNA", at positions 509 to 807 of the family's 1533-position model. The record is from RNAcentral.
CAGUCGCCGCGGUAAUACGAACCGUGCGAACGUUAUUCGGAAUUACUGGGCUUAAAGCGCGUGUAGGCGGGCCGCCACGUCGGUUGCUGAAAUCCCCCGGCUCAACCGGGGAAGUGGCAUCGAUACGAGCGGCCUUGAGGGGGGUAGGGGGAUCUGGAACUUCCGGUGGAGCGGUGAAAUGCGUUGAGAUCGGAAGGAACGCCCGUGGCGAAAGCGAGGUCCUGGACCCUUUCUGACGCUGAGACGCGAAAGCCAGGGGAGCGAACGGGAUUAGAUACCCGCGUAGUCCCUGUCUCUUAUA